This 428-nucleotide transfer RNA is filed under the name uncultured cyanobacterium. RNAcentral describes it as "partial 16S ribosomal RNA". The stretch from base 54 to 127 matches the Rfam family "tRNA". The record is from RNAcentral. Lineage: Bacteria; Bacillati; Cyanobacteriota.
GGUCGGUCGCAACCUUAAGGUAAGCUUUCAAACUAUAAACAGGGUUCGAUUAUGGGCUAUUAGCUCAGGUGGUUAGAGCGCACCCCUGAUAAGGGUGAGGUCCCUGGUUCGAGUCCAGGAUGGCCCACCUGAAGACAGUGAACAGUCAACAGCGAACAGUGAACAGUUAAAAACUGGUAGCUGGAAACUGGUAACUGAAAUCUGACUUANGGGGGUUUAGCUCAGUUGGUAGAGCGCCUGCUUUGCAAGCAGGAUGUCAGCGGUUCGAGUCCGNUAACCUUCACCUACUCCACCAAAAAAAAUGCCACCAAAAAAGUCGCUGAGAAGCAACAAGCAAAAAAAGUGAGAGAAAACCUUUUGUGGCGAAACGAGUGUGGUAGAAUGAGAAAAUGUGGGUCAACUCAGCAAUAUGACGUUCGUCAGACUGC